GAUGAUUCGUGACUUUCCCAAUAGAACUUCAAAUCUCUGAAGACGGGGGGUGGGGGGAUGUGCUUGAGUGUUUGUACUCAUGGUCUUAUUCUCGGAGUGACAAAGCUGGAACACAAUACCUCUAUGCAUGAAAAGGUUGUCACUUGUCACAACUAACAGGCUUUCACCUCAUGGAAAUUUUCUUCCCUUGUGUACUUUUCCCCUGGCAGUGGACAUGGCUGCACUCUUCCAAGAAGCAAGCAGCUGUCCCGUCUGCUCAGACUAUCUGGAAAAACCAAUGUCCCUGGAGUGUGGAUGCGCCGUCUGCUUCAAGUGCAUCAAUUCACUGCAGAAGGAGCCCCAUGGGGAGGAUCUACUUUGCUGUUGCUGUUCCAUGGUCUCUCGGAAGAACAAAAUCAGGCGCAAUCGGCAGCUAGAGAGGCUGGCUUCCCACAUCAAGGAACUGGAGCCCAAGCUGAAGAAGAUUCUGCAGAUGAACCCAAGGAUGCGGAAGUUCCAAGUGGAUAUGACCUUGGAUGCCGACACAGCCAACAACUUCCUCCUCAUUUCUGACGACCUCAGGAGCGUCCGAAGUGGGCACAUCAGACAGAAUCGGCAAGACCUUGCCGGGAGAUUUGACCUGUCCGUUUGCAUCCUGGGCUCCCCUCACUUUACCUGUGGCCGCCACUACUGGGAGGUGGACGUGGGAACAAGCACAGAAUGGGACCUGGGAGUCUGCAGAGAAUCUGUUCACCGCAAAGGGAGGAUCCAGCUGACCACAGAGCGUGGAUUCUGGACUGUGAGUUUGAGGGAUGGAAGCCGCCUCUCUGCCAGCACGGUGCCGCUGACUUUCCUCUUCGUAGACCGCAAGUUACAGCGAGUGGGGAUUUUUCUGGAUAUGGGCAUGCAGAACGUUUCCUUUUUUGACGCUGAAGGUGGUUCCCAUGUCUAUACAUUCAGGAGCGUCUCUGCUGAGGAGCCACUGCGCCCAUUUUUGGCUCCUUCAAUUCCACCUAACGGUGAUCAGGGUGUCUUGAGCAUCUGUCCUUUGAUGAACUCAGGCACUACUGAUGCUCCAGUCCAUCCUGGGGAGGCCAAACAAACCCCCACUGCAAAAAAACAAAAAACAGGGUAAGAAAAUUACUUGGGUGGGUAGACUUAGGAACGCUC
This 1149-nucleotide small RNA is filed under the name Pan troglodytes (chimpanzee). RNAcentral describes it as "processed transcript". The record is from RNAcentral. Lineage: Eukaryota; Metazoa; Chordata; Mammalia; Primates; Hominidae.